This 422-nucleotide ribosomal RNA is filed under the name uncultured bacterium. RNAcentral's name for it is "bacterial SSU rRNA". It matches the Rfam family "Bacterial small subunit ribosomal RNA", at positions 355 to 774 of the family's 1533-position model. The record is from RNAcentral.
UGAGGAAUAUUGGGCAAUGCCCGCAAGGGUGACCCAGCAACGCCGCGUGGAGGAUGAAUGUCGUAAGAUUGUAAACUCUUGUUAGAGGGGAAGAAUAGUACCGGUUGGACCGGUAUAUGACUGUACCCUCAGAGAAAGCCCCGGCUAACUACGUGCCAGCAGCCGCGGUAAUACGUAGGGGGCAAGCGUUGUCCGGAUUUACUGGGUGUAAAGGGCGCGCAGGCGGGAUAAAAAGUCAGUGGUGAAAUCCUACAGCUUAACUGUAGAACUGCCUUUGAUACUUUUAUUCUUGAGUUCGGGAGAGAGAGACGGAAUUCCAGGUGUAGUGGUGAAAUACGUAGAUAUCUGGAAGAACACCAGUUGCGAAGGCGGUCUCUUGGUCCGACACUGACGCUGAGGCGCGAAAGCGUGGGGAGCAAACA